GCAUAUCAAUAAGCGGAGGAAAAGAAACUAACAAGGAUUCCCCUAGUAACGGCGAGUGAACCGGGAAGAGCUCAAAUUUGAAAUCUGGCGUCCUCAGGGCGUCCGAGUUGUAAUCUAUAGAAACGUUUUCCGUGCCGGACAGUGUCCAAGUCCCUUGGAACAGGGUAUCAAAGAGGGUGACAAUCCCGUACUUGACACGACUACCGGUGCUCUGUGAUACGUUUUCUACGAGUCGAGUUGUUUGGGAAUGCAGCUCAAAAUGGGUGGUGAGUUCCAUCUAAAGCUAAAUAUUGGCGAGAGACCGAUAGCGAACAAGUACCGUGAGGGAAAGAUGAAAAGCACUUUGGAAAGAGAGUUAAACAGUACGUGAAAUUGUUGAAAGGGAAACGAUUGAAGUCAGUCGUGACCGAGAGGCUCAGCCGGCUCUGCCGGUGUAUUCCCCUCGGUCGGGUCAACAUCAGUUUUGUCCGGUGGAUAAGGGCGUUAGGAAGGUAGCUCCCACGGGAGUGUUAUAGCCUGACGUCGCAUACACUGGGUGAGACUGAGGAAUGCAGCUCGCCUUUACAGGCCGGGGUUCGCCCACGUCCGAGCUUAGGAUGUUGACAUAAUGGCUUUAAACGACCCGUCUUGAAACACGGACC
This 641-nucleotide ribosomal RNA is filed under the name uncultured fungus. Its description in RNAcentral is "eukaryotic LSU rRNA". It matches the Rfam family "Eukaryotic large subunit ribosomal RNA", at positions 38 to 667 of the family's 3401-position model. The record is from RNAcentral. Lineage: Eukaryota; Fungi.